Long non-coding RNA from Ursus thibetanus thibetanus, 3572 nucleotides. The record is from Ensembl. Lineage: Eukaryota; Metazoa; Chordata; Mammalia; Carnivora; Ursidae.
GACUAUGAUCAUAAAAAUGUCCUUGGCGUGUGCACCCCUGUGGAAUCCAGUACAUCUCUAAUCUGUCAGGAAGCAUCAGAGGUGGUUUUGACUCCUUAUGUCCUGAGCCUGUGCACAAAAUGUGUAAACUGGAUAGAACAUCAGACAGCUCAUUAUAGAGACAAGUACGCUCCAUUCCCAAAGUUGGAUGACAGAACAAGUCAGGACCUUGUGUGGAGGAAAAUGAGAUCCCGAGUGAAGUCUACAAUGUCAUUGACUCUGAAGAAGGACUCAGAGACCCAUUGGUGUUUAAUGACCCUUACUGGCCUAUGCAAUGGGAAACUGAAUCUUGAGAAUUGCCAUUUCCCAGGAGGAGGCCUGCCUUAGCCUCCUUGCCGCAUCAGUCCUUGAAUGGGAACAGCCUGUGAGAAGUACAGCUUCAGUGCAAACACUGUGCCUGAGAGGAGAGCUACGCCCAAGGUCAGUUAUCUUUAGUUGCAGUUAUAAGAGAUCUGAGAGGCACAUUUUCAUGGUCACCAUGGUGGAUGAGAGCUAGUUUAUUAUCAAAGGAACACCUGGGACCAAGAAAAUGAAAAUAUCAAAAGAAAACCAAAAUAUUUAAUCACCUGUAAUGUUCCGGGUGUUUUUAGUGUCUUCACAGUAGUUAUCUCUUUUACAUUUUACAACUACCCUAAGGAGUAAUCUUACUAUCGUUAUAUUGAAUAUAUAAAAACUGAAAUUUAGAUAACUGAUAUCAUCUUAAUUUUAAGGAGAUACUUGAAUAGUAAAUGACAUUAUAUUAAACUCAAUUGCCAAAUGGAUGCCUCCGUAGGGUUCUAGAAAGUAUGUUGUCAGUAUCACCACCAAUUUCAUCAGAAAAAUCUUAGGUAUUAUGAAGCUCAAAUUUUUAUCACUGGCAGCAAAUACCAUUGGUUUCUUCCUCUGACAGGUUUACUUCAAUCAUUUUUGAUUAAGUAUCUCCCAAAUACCCAUGUCAAACAAUAGUUUGUCAUUAAUUCUUUCUAGCAAAUGAUAUUCCAUCAAAGACUGGCUAGUUCAGCUUGUGAUCCAGUGGGGCAAGUGCUUCUCCUUUAUACUUCAGUAGAUAUCAGAAGUGCAUUUGUAUACUUUCUACUUCAUCACAGGUGUUAUUGAAAUGAUGUGUCUUCAAGUUUCAAGAUUUAAUAAAAUUAUCAAUUUUGACUGCUUUACUGAGGACAUUCUUAAGGGAAGCUCUUCAUUCAAUUAAUUGAACUAUUUAUUAAAUGUGAAUCUGUGGUGGUGAGAAAUAUCAUGACUUCUAGUAGUUUGGUGCAAACUGACAGGAGCUUUAUCCACCUUUACGUUUGGUACCAUUAGUGCAAUUAUGAACACAGCAAAAAAAAAAUCAAGUAAUGUCUUAGUAUUAUUAUGACAAAGUUUUGACCAUGUGUAUCGACUUAAAGUAUCUUGAGUUACUGAGGGGUCCACAGACCACACUGUACAACAUUGUUCAAGAUUAUAGUUAAGAACCUUGAGACUAUUCUAGAAUAUUUGCUCCAUGAGGGCAUGGAUCUUUGAUUUGUUCAUUUAUGUGUCCCAAGCACUCAGAAUGAUCUGUAACACAUGAUAUAAGUAUAAACAUAUUACCUGUUGCAUUAAAGAAAGAAACAUUGAAAUCAUGAAUUUUGAUCCCUCCUCUUUCCCCCACACCCUCACCACCAAUCAGACUAUGUGCUGAAUGGUUGUGUGAUUUAGUUUUAUAAUUUUUAAAAGAGAUAAUAUUAGUACCUAGCUUACAGGUUUGUUUUAAAGAUGAAAUAUGACAGUGCAUUAAAAUGCUUUGCAGAAUGACCAACACAAGGCAGUGAUGUUCAUUAUUUAAAAAUAUAUUAGGAAAAACAUGUAAAGGAUCCGUAGUUGUCUCAGUUAUAACUGGUUCUGUCUAUAAUAGUAUUGCAAUCAAAAGAGUAAAGGAUCAUAUGUAAACAAAGACCUGGGAUAGCAGUUGAAGGCUUAGGUGGUAGCUCCAGAAUGUCUUCAGUCACUCAGGCUUCUAUUUUUCUGCAUUAAUAUCCUACCACAUGACUUUCAUCUUAAGGUCAUAUCUUGAUCCAGUGUAACUGCUGAAAGUCCAGUUUUUGCUUCUGCAGUGAAGGCCAGAAGAAGAAAGAAAGGUGGAAAGGUGUUUGUUUUGUUUUGUUUUUAAAGUCUGACCCCAGCUAAAUCAGCUCCCUUUAAACAGGUUUCUCAGAAGUCUCAUAUCCCAAAUCUGCAUUUUGUUAGCUGCAGCAUGGUCACAUACAAGGGAGGCAGAGAAGUUAGCUUUUUAUUCUUUGUGUCAACAUGCCUACCUAAAAAUUAGGAUUCCUAUACUAAGAAGAAAGAAGAAAACUGAUUGCCUCUACCUCUUCCUGGAACAAAGUAAUAGUUGCUAUGUAACAUAUAACAUGGAUAUAUUCAAUUGUGCAGAAGACUGAUUGAUACAGAUGUUUUUUGCUCCUCUGUGGGUAUAACAACUCUUUGACCUAGCACUGAACUCAGCACCUACCAUAGGCCUUUAUCCUUACAAAAGGGCCGAGGUUGCACAUCACAUUCUAUCUAGUGCCUCCAUGUUCUCCCCAGGAUCAAGCGGUGGGAAUUUAUAUGUACAGUGCAUUGAAUGUGAUUCAGCUACACUGAUGACUAACCAUUUUAGGCUGAACUGAGAGCACUACAGCCUUCUAAGUUUCCUGAAUCUUAUCCCAAUUAUAUUUCAUUUAAUAACACUCAGUGAAAUAUCUGGUGGCAGGGGAAAUGAAACUACAUGCUUUUAUGGGAUCAUUCAUCAAGAACUAAUUGAAGCGUUCAUACAGUUUAGUGCUGAUAAAACAGUGUAACAAUAAACAAUAACAAAAUUCACUGGAGAAGGAUUUGUUUUGCCGUGAGGAAAAUGGUUCUGUUUCAUCCUGGGAUUCCUGGUUAAAAGAGUCUCCAAUUUACAAAAGGAUAAGCGCAGACUCCUCUGCAUAAUGACGGGGUGGAAGCUGUGUCAAAUGUAUUAGUGUUGCUCCACUGGAGCCAUUCUCAUCCUAAGUAUUUGCUAUUGUGUGGGACUCUAGCAGGAGGCUGCAGGACCAAUAGGAUUUUUAAAAGUUUCUUUUCCUAUUUAUUGUUAUGAUGCUUGAAGCAGCUCCUUCUUAGUUUUUAUUGGAAAAUAUAGAAAAAUCUUAAAGUGUACUUUAAUAAGUUCAGAUUUUCUUAAAUCCCAAUUUAAGAAGUUCUUUUUUGAAUACUGCUGCAUAUGGAGUUAGUUGGCUUUUUGUCACUGCAAUCCUUGUUCCUCCACAUGUGGUGCUUGGAUGUCUGGCUGAAUUGAAAAGGAAGGAAUAGAGAAUAGACACCUUAUACUAUCUCAUUUUCUUGGGAGUGACUGAAUCAUAGCAAAAUGAAAUGUAUGAGAAAUGUGCCACAAACUGCUGUAAACCUGAACAUUUAUUUGCUAUAUUUAUGUGACUUAGAUGGCAGUAAGCAUCAUGUAAUAAGUGUAGCAUUUACUUGGUAAUUGGUAUGUCUUAUAUAUAUAAUAACCACAGAUUUUAUUGGUAAAACAUAUUACCUAGGCUCAAUUUCAC